UGGCCUUGACAUAGUAAGAACCUAAUAGAGAUAUAAGGGUGCUAGUUUACUAGAGCUUACAUAC
Molecule: ribosomal RNA, 64 nt
Filed under: uncultured bacterium
Lineage: Bacteria
Description: partial 16S ribosomal RNA
Source: RNAcentral